CUUGUGAAGAGAGAAGACAGCAGUUCAUGAACCAGGAAGCAGGUUUCCACCAGAUACCAAAUCUGCCGGUGCCUAAAUCUUGGACUUGCCAAUCUCCAGGACUAUGAGGCCACCAAGACACAGAGAGAUAAAGUUGGCACAGCUGAGAAGUGACAGAACUGUGAUUCACACUGGCACUCUGGCCAUAGAACCCACACUGUUUACCUGGAUGUGUUUAGAAUCAUGGUGAGAAAAACUGAUAUUUCAAGCAGAAGAGGACUUGCAUGAUGUUGGCUGAACAGGAACAUAGCCAGGAAAGGUGCUCUUUAUCACGCCAUAAUGCUCACAACCCGCACUCAGUACUCACGCCGCUCUUCAAGAGUGGGGAGUCCCCCAGCCCCACAGAAUAUAAAGGAUGGGUUAAAGGGGGUAAUUCCUGCCUAGGGUGUUCCAUGAGCCAGGGAAACAAGAACAUUCAUAUUUAGUUUUUAAAGGUCUUUAUGACAAAGUAAAGUAGGGUCAAAUGAGCACUGUAAAGGAGCUUCAUUCUCACGCAGGCUGUCUACAAGCUCCCUUCUAGCUCCCUGUUCUCACACCCAGUGAGCCAGAUCCCUUCUGCUAAACCAGCAGCACAGCUCAGGGGAGACUGCUCAGAAGGGAAAGUGAAGGGAAAUGCAACACCAGUUCUAACACUGCUGAAUUUUGCUGACUAGCGUCGGGUGGUUUUGACCUUGUAAAUAAAGGCAAAGUGGUUUAAACAUCGAAAUGUCUCAUAUUUAAAAAAUCUGUGGAAAUUAUAACAAUGA
Long non-coding RNA from Felis catus (domestic cat), 785 nucleotides. RefSeq lists it as uncharacterized. The record is from RefSeq and is a predicted model, not a curated record. The transcript has 3 exons. NCBI's taxonomy places the organism in Eukaryota, Metazoa, Chordata, Mammalia, Carnivora, Felidae.